This 73-nucleotide transfer RNA is filed under the name Actinomycetota bacterium. RNAcentral's name for it is "tRNA-Lys". It matches the Rfam family "tRNA". Rfam says of the family: Transfer RNA (tRNA) molecules are approximately 80 nucleotides in length. Their secondary structure includes four short double-helical elements and three loops (D, anti-codon, and T loops). The record is from RNAcentral. Lineage: Bacteria; Bacillati; Actinomycetota.
GGGCCCCUAGCUCAACUGGCAGAGCAGCGGGCUUUUAACCCGCGGGUUGUGGGUUCGAGUCCCACGGGGCCCA